AAGACCAUACUUUCAGGGAUUAUUUCUGCAGUUCAUUACUAAAGAAGUUUCUAUGAAUGUGUAGAGCAAAACAAAAACAAAAACAGAAACAAAAUUCUAGCUGU
Non-coding RNA from Pongo abelii (Sumatran orangutan), 104 nucleotides. The record is from Rfam. Lineage: Eukaryota; Metazoa; Chordata; Mammalia; Primates; Hominidae.